AUGGAUCUACAACGACGUCAGCAACUAGCAGCAAUUGAUCCUGUUCCUGCUCCAACGGACGCCGAACUCGACGAGCGCGCAACACUAUUAAAGAUCAAACCCACAUGUUGUGAUGGCUGGAUUUGUCUGAUCUGUCGACGUCUAAACGAACCCAAGGACAAUCUUCUUUGUAAGAUUCCUCCUUUCAAGUGUGCUACUCGCAACUGCAAGGGCCAGUGCCCAGGGACUGCCGGAAUGAACAUUAAUGACUGUGAAGUAAAUGGAGUGAGAACCAAUUUUGCGAUUAGAGAUCAAGGCCCGAACCCGACCUGCGCAGCUCAUGCAUUAGUGGCCGCCAUGGAUGUUUCAAUUAGAAUCGAGGGAGCGCUCCGGGAGGUUACCAUAUGUCUGCCGCUGAAUAUUGUUGACCUUUUCGCAAAGUAUUAUCCACUCUUUCGGGAAGGUGUGGGGAAUGAAGUAGAAGAAGCCGACAGGAUGAGAAGAAUUCCUAACUUGUUGAGGAUUGCCCAGUUGCUGGGAGUUAAGUAUGUGUGUGCAACGAAAUGCGUCCGAACAGAAAGAGUGCUGAAGUUGAAGUCGUGGUUCCUUUUGAGCACUGCUACUACUGAAGUCGACAAGCUAGUACGUCUGAUUGCUAGCGGGUUCCCCUUACUAGUUGGCAUGAGAACUGGUCGCUGUUUCAAGUUGACAGCAAACAAAGAGUUAUACAGGGGGCCAAACAAGGAGAAAAAUCAUGCCGUUUUGCUUAUUGGAGUGGAAGUAAAUCAGAUAUUUCUCACAGAUGAAACAACCGGCGAGAAUGGGAAGGUUCACAGGGUUCUGUUUAGGGCCAGAGAUUCACAUGGGGAUGACGCUCACAAGUGUGCUGAACUGACAGGGUAUGGUGGUGAUGUGUACCUGUUGCCCGAGGAUCUGGGCUCGCAUGUCUUCGGGUUCCAUCUGGAGAUCCCAAGCUAUCUGACCGUCGCUCCCUGA
Molecule: ribosomal RNA, 975 nt
Filed under: Triticum aestivum (bread wheat)
Lineage: Eukaryota; Viridiplantae; Streptophyta; Magnoliopsida; Poales; Poaceae
Description: partial small subunit ribosomal RNA
Source: RNAcentral